GAUGAACGCUGGCGGCGUGCCUAAUACAUGCAAGUCGAGCGAAUGGAUUAAGAGCUUGCUCUUAUGAAGUUAGCGGCGGACGGGUGAGUAACACGUGGGUAACCUGCCCAUAAGACUGGGAUAACUCCGGGAAACCGGGGCUAAUACCGGAUAAUAUUUUGAACUGCAUGGUUAAAAAUUGAAAGGCGGCUUCGGCUGUCACUUAUGGAUGGACCCGGGUCGCAUUAGCUAGUUGGUGAGGUAACGGCUCACCAAGGCAACGAUGCGUAGCCGACCUGAAAGGGUGAUCGGCCACACUGGGACUGAGACACGGCCCAGACUCCUACGGGAGGCAGCAGUAGGGAAUCUUCCGCAAUGGACGAAAGUCUGACGGAGCAACGCCGCGUGAGUGAUGAAGGCUUUCGGGUCGUAAAACUCUGUUGUUAGGGAAGAACAAGUGCUAGUUGAAUAAGCUGGCACCUUGACGGUACCUAACCAGAAAGCCACGGCUAACUACGUGCCAGCCGCCGCGGUAA
RNAcentral lists this ribosomal RNA (515 nucleotides) under uncultured bacterium. Its description in RNAcentral is "partial 16S ribosomal RNA". It matches the Rfam family "Bacterial small subunit ribosomal RNA", at positions 28 to 523 of the family's 1533-position model. The record is from RNAcentral.